UUAAAAUGAUGUUACUUCAUAGUAUAGUUCAUUAGAAUUCCACAUGUUACAACGUUUUCGAAGCUGAUAUUGUCUUCAAAUAAGCUUCAGACGUCCCACCAUAGAAAAUCGUAUUAAUUUAUUAUAUUUCUUGCAGCUUCAAUGAUUUGCUUUCCACCAGCCAUACAAUG
RNAcentral lists this small nucleolar RNA (170 nucleotides) under Drosophila subobscura. Lineage: Eukaryota; Metazoa; Arthropoda; Insecta; Diptera; Drosophilidae. The record is from RNAcentral.